Molecule: long non-coding RNA, 456 nt
Organism: Drosophila mojavensis
Lineage: Eukaryota; Metazoa; Arthropoda; Insecta; Diptera; Drosophilidae
Exons: 2
Source: RefSeq, a predicted model, not a curated record
ACCAAUAGCAUGCUCUGUAUUUAGUUUCUUCAUUAUUCCAGUAAACUUUUUAGAUAUAUGUGUGUCAAGAAAUUCAAUAAAAAUCGGUAUGGAUAUUUACAAGGAGAGCAGAAUUGGGCAUUACAAGCCAAGUCUGUCCCCAGAUCAGAUAGUAGAUGAUUCGAUUGAGAGUGGAACAGCGAUUCUGAUCACCUUGGCGGCCGUUUGCCUUUUCGUUGGCUUCUGCUGUCUGACCUUCAUGAUUGGCAUCUUCUGUGGCCUAGGCUGUUGCAACACUGACCACGCGUACAGGUAACAGGUAGCAGCAGCAGAGAGCGUCAACUGUGAGCAUGUCCAAAAAAAAAAAACUCCAACAGAUGUAGUAGGCUUUGCUCAGAAAUUUAUUCCAACAGUUAUAGCUAAAAGCAUGUGUCAAUUUUAAAUCUUAUAAAUUAUAAAAACUGCCUUAAACUGAAA